Long non-coding RNA from Gasterosteus aculeatus aculeatus (three-spined stickleback), 1230 nucleotides. NCBI's taxonomy places the organism in Eukaryota, Metazoa, Chordata, Actinopteri, Perciformes, Gasterosteidae. The record is from Ensembl.
GGGGGGGGUCUCCAUUGGUGAAAUGCAAUAUCUGAAUCUCCUUGAGGAGUAAUUUCCUGGUCCAGCUUCUGAGUGGAACAACUGUUGAAAAUGCAAAGAUCAGGCCGGCUAUACUUAAAAAGAUUAGAAAACACUGCACCGCCUCGGGGGCACGAUAAACCAAAGCAGGGAGGGGGGGGGUUCAAACCGUUCACGUGUUGAACACGGGGAAAAAGUGAAUGCGAUGAUUACAAACAAAAAGCUCUGAUUCAGACAUCUGGUUGGAGUGGAGUGUGAGGAAAGCUCACAAGGUAAUUUCUCAGAGUGCAUCCAUGUUGUGUGUCCUCUUUCAGGAGGACAUUAUAUCACCAUUAUAUCACCAUUAUAACACCACUGCAACACCAUUAUAACACCACUGCAACACCAUUAUAUCACCAUUAUAACACCAUUAUUAGGGUCUUAUAACACCACUGCAACACCAUUAUAACACCAUUAUAACACCAUUAUAACACCAUUAUAUCACCACUGUGCGAGAGACCUGAGAUCAACAUUCUGCAUGUUCACACCUGUUCUAUGUUUUAAAUGCACAUUCACAGAUCUACAGAGUUAAAUACACAUUUAUUGUUUUCUAUCAUUUAUCUGUUGACAUUUACGGCUUCGUGCACUGAUUUGAAGAUAUGAUGACACAUCGACAAUUCAGAACAUAGAUGAGUCUUUUUUACCACCUGAUUACUCACACGCGCACACACGUACUCGUGCACAGAUCUCUGGACACGUUCACGCAUCAGAUUACGCACACGCGGAUCUCUGCACCCACGCGACGGAUCUCAGUACGAGAUUCAAUUAGAGUCCAGAGACAUUUACAAAUCAGUGUUCCCCAGAGAGCAUCCCGGGAGGGAGGGAGGAGGGGAGGGAGGGAGAGAGGGAGAGAUGAAGUGAACAGACCUCACGUUGAGCUCACAUGAACCUCGGCAUCGUUUCCUGCGUUGGAUCAUUUGAGCUCCGCUAAACCGGAGGAGCACCGGAGCGCAGCGGCGGACUCCCGGUGAGCUCCGGUCCUCUGCCCGGUCCUCUCCCCGGUCCUCUGCCCGGUCCUCUCCCCGGUCCUCCGCGGAGGUUCGGUGAGCGACUACGCGACUUGACAAGUUUCGUCUCCUCCGGAGGAUGGAUUCCUGAUUCCUUCUUCUCCUUCUCCGCGGAUAAUAACGCAAGCUGCCCAGGUGAGAUAAUUCACGGGGGAAGGAAGUAGGG